GACGAACGCUGGCGGCGUGCUUAACACAUGCAAGUCGAACGAUGAAGAAGAGCUUGCUCUUCGGAUUAGUGGCGAACGGGUGAGUAACUCGUGACUAACCUGCCCCUUUCUCUGGGAUAACGCUCCGAAAGGAGUGCUAAUACCGGAUACUCACAUCGAGGCACAUGCCUUGAUGUGGAAAGUUUUUCGGAAAGGGAUGGAGUCGCGGCCUAUCAGCUUGUUGGUGAGGUAACGGCUCACCAAGGCGACGACGGGUAGCCGGGCUGAGAGGGCGACCGGCCACACUGGGACUGAGACACGGCCCAGACUCCUACGGGAGGCAGCAGUGGGGAAGAUUGCACAAUGGGCGAAAGCCUGAUGCAGCGACGCCGCGUGAGGGAUGAAGGUCUUCGGAUUGUAAACCUCUUUCAGUAGGGACGAAGCGAAAGUGACGGUACCUAAAGAAGAAGCACCGGCUAACUACGUGCCAGCCGCCGCGGUAA
RNAcentral lists this ribosomal RNA (482 nucleotides) under uncultured bacterium. RNAcentral's name for it is "partial 16S ribosomal RNA". It matches the Rfam family "Bacterial small subunit ribosomal RNA", at positions 28 to 523 of the family's 1533-position model. The record is from RNAcentral.